RNAcentral lists this ribosomal RNA (327 nucleotides) under Burkholderia cenocepacia. RNAcentral's name for it is "partial 23S ribosomal RNA". It matches the Rfam family "Bacterial large subunit ribosomal RNA", at positions 1765 to 2100 of the family's 2925-position model. Lineage: Bacteria; Pseudomonadati; Pseudomonadota; Betaproteobacteria; Burkholderiales; Burkholderiaceae. The record is from RNAcentral.
AGGGUGAAGGGGUUGCAAUAAACUGGUGGCUGCGACUGUUUAAUAAAAACACAGCACUCUGCAAACACGAAAGUGGACGUAUAGGGUGUGACGCCUGCCCGGUGCCGGAAGAUUAAAUGAUGGGGUGCAAGCUCUUGAUUGAAGUCCCGGUAAACGGCGGCCGUAACUAUAACGGUCCUAAGGUAGCGAAAUUCCUUGUCGGGUAAGUUCCGACCUGCACGAAUGGCGUAACGAUGGCCACACUGUCUCCUCCCGAGACUCAGCGAAGUUGAAGUGUUUGUGAUGAUGCAAUCUACCCGCGGCUAGACGGAAAGACCCCAUGAACCU